GUUGGUUUCUUGGGGAACUAGAAACGAGGCUCUCCCAGUGUGUGCCAACAUGCUUGGCACUUUCGGGAUGCUAUGGGUCAGGCACCAGAUAAACACACCCAGGGACAGAGGAUGGCUGCUCAGGAAUUUCUGCUGGCAGCUCUUUGUGGACUCGCGAAAAAUUGGCUGAAAAGGAAGGACUGUGACCCAAAGAUGCCCAGCUCCCUGGAAUAGGGCACGUUACAGUGGACUGAGGAGCUACAGUGAGCUGUGCUAAGAGUGUGCCUGGGAAGAGAAACCAAGGACGUGAGAUUCAAAAACAGGCUUUGCCUAAGACUGCAUAAAGCUGCAAGCUCUCCAGCCCUUCCCUGGCCAGUUCCCUGUGACCUCCUAGGCUGAAGAAACCAAGACCAAUGGCAGCUUCCAACCAGCUUGGCAUAAGCGGUUGGCAAGGCAGAGCACCCCUAUCUGUGCCCAGCUGCAGGUCUUGAAGUCUCUCAGUCAUCAGCUCACCUAGGACAUCCAGUUCAUCAGCCAGUCUUGUGGGUUAACUCGUAUUCUGAUUCUCUUUACUGUUCCCUCUGGUUUUAAAAAA
Molecule: long non-coding RNA, 574 nt
Filed under: Pan troglodytes (chimpanzee)
Lineage: Eukaryota; Metazoa; Chordata; Mammalia; Primates; Hominidae
Description: lincRNA
Source: RNAcentral